RNAcentral lists this ribosomal RNA (654 nucleotides) under uncultured bacterium. RNAcentral's name for it is "bacterial SSU rRNA". It matches the Rfam family "Bacterial small subunit ribosomal RNA", at positions 62 to 689 of the family's 1533-position model. The record is from RNAcentral.
CCUUGAAGAUCGGAGUGCUUGCACUCUGUGAAACAAGAUACAGGCUAGCGGCGGACGGGUGAGUAACACGUGGGUAACCUGCCCAAGAGAUCGGGAUAACACCUGGAAACAGAUGCUAAUACCGGAUAACAACAGAUGAUGCCUAUCAACUGUUUAAAAGAUGGUUCUGCUAUCACUCUUGGAUGGACCUGCGGUGCAUUAGCUAGUUGGUAGGGUAACGGCCUACCAAGGCGAUGAUGCAUAGCCGAGUUGAGAGACUGAUCGGCCACAUUGGGACUGAGACACGGCCCAAACUCCUACGGGAGGCAGCAGUAGGGAAUCUUCCACAAUGGACGCAAGUCUGAUGGAGCAACGCCGCGUGAGUGAAGAAGGGUUUCGGCUCGUAAAGCUCUGUUGUUGGUGAAGAAGGACAGGGGUAGUAACUGACCUUUGUUUGACGGCAAUCAAUUAGAAAGUCACGGCUAACUACGUGCCAGCAGCCGCGGUAAUACGUAGGUGGCAAGCGUUGUCCGGAUUUAUUGGGCGUAAAGCGAGUGCAGGCGGUUCGAUAAGUCUGAUGUGAAAGCCUUCGGCUCAACCGGAGAAUUGCAUCAGAAACUGUCGAGCUUGAGUACAGAAGAGGAGAGUGGAACUCCAUGUGUAGCGGUGAAAUGC